Molecule: ribosomal RNA, 119 nt
Filed under: Pteropus alecto (black flying fox)
Lineage: Eukaryota; Metazoa; Chordata; Mammalia; Chiroptera; Pteropodidae
Source: RNAcentral
GUCUACGGCCAUGCCACCCUGAACAAGCCUGAUCCUGUCUGAUCUCGGAAGCUACGCAGGGUUAGGCCUGGUUAGUACUUGGAUGGGAGACCACCUAGGAAGAUCAGGUGCUGUAGGUC